GAUGCCAGGGUUUAUUUCUGCAACUGCAAUAACUAUGAACUGAUAUUAUCUCUCUGUUCUCCUCCACACUGAAAGCUGGUGUUGUGAGCGUUCUGGCGCACUAUGGCUGCUGUCGCAUCAUCCAGGGCAUGUUUCCCAUCUCUCUCUACCUCAUGGCCAGCGAACUGCUGCUACAUCCUCUCUCUUCCUCUCUAACCCCUCCUUGAUCAGCCACACACCUCUUAACCAUGAAAGGACAGCAGACCCUGUUGAGCCUGCAGUCCAGCCCUCCUGUCCCUCCUGCCUCACUCACAGACACACCUAGAGCGAGUAAGAGAGGACGCACUGCAAUACAAUGACUGAAGUUGUGUAUCUUAUGUUAAAGACUGGCGGAAAAAGAGGACUGAAGAUAACAAUUGAUGUAAAGCUCCAGGUAAGCACUUAAAAUAAAUGGAUUUAUCAUUUUUCUUUUAGACCUCUCAAACCUGGAAUUGUCCUUCUUACUGUACAUACUUGGUUUUACCCAAGGUGCCCAAUGCUGCAUCAGUCGAAUCAGGUUGAGGACUAUGUACAGUACAUUCUCCUCCAGUGCUGACUCAGGAUCUCUCUGAGGUUAAAUAUGGCUCUCAGCCCUGUGUGUACUUAACAAGUUGAUUUUUCCUUGACAGCAAUAGUAUGAAAACAGUAGAUUGUCAGUGAUACAAGUUCAUCAUUUCAAAGGUUCUUUUUUUUUUGGUUAAUCUUUCCAAAACAUUUGCACCCUUUGCCACGUCCUUUGUUCAAUCAGAAUAUUGGAGCUUCCAAAGGAACAUUAGAAAGGUUAAAAAACAAAAGGAGUCUGUUCGGCCCAUCUAGCCCAGUGAGGUCGUUAGUGGACGACUGAUCCAAGGAUCCAGCUGUUUCUCGAAGGAGGCCAGUGUUUCAAGGUUUCAGCUUCAACACCAUGGUUAGGUACAGUAGCUUGCUCCAUACCCCCCCACAGCUCUUUGAGUAAAAAUGUGCCUCUUUUUUGAAAUUGAAAUGCACUUCUACUGGGAUCUCUGGUUGGUGCUUCACUGUUGAUUAAUUAAUUCGGCUCACCCCUAUUUAUACAGUUUGAAGGA
This is a non-coding RNA of Lepisosteus oculatus (spotted gar), 1082 nucleotides long. NCBI's taxonomy places the organism in Eukaryota, Metazoa, Chordata, Actinopteri, Semionotiformes, Lepisosteidae. The record is from RefSeq and is a predicted model, not a curated record.